GAUCGACCCGAUUAAGCAACGAAC
Molecule: non-coding RNA, 24 nt
Filed under: Gossypium hirsutum (cotton)
Lineage: Eukaryota; Viridiplantae; Streptophyta; Magnoliopsida; Malvales; Malvaceae
Source: RNAcentral